RNAcentral lists this long non-coding RNA (247 nucleotides) under Olea europaea subsp. europaea. The record is from RNAcentral. Lineage: Eukaryota; Viridiplantae; Streptophyta; Magnoliopsida; Lamiales; Oleaceae.
CUAGGCGCUGCAAUUGAAGAUCUAUGGCACGUUUUUUGGGCCGUUCUUAAAUCCAUAAAAACCCUACUUCUACAUAAAAUGGAGGGGCACCUAUAAAUACAUCUUCCUCAUACUUUUGAAGGGUUCUUGACAUAUUGGAGAGAAGACAACAAGAAGGGAGAUUCAAAAGAGAAAUUCAAGAAGAUUAACACCAAGCAAUUGAAGAUUAGAAGCAUUCAUUGGAAGAGGAAGGAGAUCUUGGUGCAAG